RNAcentral lists this long non-coding RNA (1829 nucleotides) under Homo sapiens (human). RNAcentral describes it as "long intergenic non-protein coding RNA 2432". Lineage: Eukaryota; Metazoa; Chordata; Mammalia; Primates; Hominidae. The record is from RNAcentral.
GGCAACCCGCUCCGGUGUCCUUCCAUGCUGUGGAGGCUCUGUUGUUUCGCUCUUUCUACUGCUUACUCUUCGGGUCCACACUGCUUUUAUGAGCUGUAACACUCACCCUGAAGGUUUGCAACUUGACUCCUGAAGCCAGCAAGACCACGAGCCCCAGGGAGGAACGAACAACUCCAGACGCGCUGCCUUAAGAGCUGUAACACUCACCGAGAAGGUCUGCAGCUUCACUCCUGAGCCAGCGAGGCCACGAACCCACCAGAAGGAAGAAACUCUGAACACAUCCGAACAUCAGAAGGAACAAACUCCAGACGUGCCACCUUAAGAGCUGUUAACACUCACCGCGAGGGUCCGCGGCUUCAUUUUUGAAGUCAGUGAGACCAAGAACCAACCAAUUCGGGACACAAUACCAACUCUUUCAUGCCAGGAGAAGCCUCCUUAAAAAAUUUCGGUGAUUAACAGCAGCACAUGGGUCAAAAUCUCCUGAAAGUUGAGCAGGGGAGCUGUAGAAGAAUUCCUCCUUUUCUCGCAGAUGAAAUCUUAUGAUAUAGCAGGGGUUACCUGGCCAAGAAGGAACACAGAGGAGAACAAAGAAAAUUCAAGGAACUAAAUUCCUUCUCCACCUCAACCACCAGCAUUGAUACUCCAUCACUUAUGUACUGCAUCAAGCCGUCCUCAGAGGUGAGGAAGGUGCUGUCAAGACUAGAAGCAUGUGUCCCUCUCUCCAUUGCAAGAUGGGACAUAGAGAGGAGAAAAGUGGCAGACAGAAGGCUAAUCUCAACUGGAAACCAGAAGGCUAGAAAUCUUACUGAUGUGAUGUCCAGGGAUACAGAGCAUAUGAAGGAUGCAGAGAGUGGGUCAAAUGGAAGGAAUGUAGCAAAACAUGUAAACUUGAAGAGUUAUUUCAAAACAGCUUUCUCCUCCUUAAGCUCCUUCAUUGGUAAAGAAACAUCACAAAAACGUUUUGAGUCAUUCAAUUCACUUUGUAAUCAGGUCUCCAGUGCCAUAAACUGUGAGUACUUGCUAAUUUGCCCCUGAAGAUUUAUUCAUGAGAUAUUUUUCCUGAAUUUACCCCAUUUGAUCUUGUCCUUUUUUUCCUCGACAAGCCAAAUACAUCUGUUCUGUUAAAGUGCCUGUACCUGUUAAGUGUUUGUAUUAUGGGGAAAAUCCUCCCUUAAGACUCCUUCAAUUAAUACAUCUAUGACUACUUUUCUGCUUUUUUGUUCCCCUUUCCUACUCUUCUUUCCAUUUAUUUAUUUUUAUUCUUUAAAUAAAUUUUUUCUCUGCAAGUCCUCAAGGCAGUACUCAAUAAUAUAAAGGGUAUAUAAUUAAUUGGUAGGACUGUCAGAAUUUAACAAAUUUCUUCCAAUAUUUUCUUCCAUAGAAUACUCUUCUCUUCCUCACUCUUUAAACUCUUACUCCCAGGAACUCCCUUCUGAUGGGAAAACGAUGUUCCAAGAAACCUAAAAUGACUUUCUCUGGCUCUCACUGCUAUUUCAGUUGCACAGCUGGGAUUAGAUCUCUGGAGCUCUGAUUUACAAUUAGGCAAUUUAACCUCAAUUCUAUCCCUUGUAGUAAACAGUAAAUAAGACCCAUAUUUCACUUGAAUAUUCUAAUCUGAAAAGAAUAACAUGCCUGAUAUUCUUUCCUUGAAACACUUGGUUUAUAAAAACAUGGAAAGGAUUUUCUAUUCUGAGUGAAUGUGUCAGCAGCUCUGAGAUGACAGCUGAUAAAUUGUCCUUUGAAAUCAUUAAAAAUGCUGUUAAAAAUGUAUAUUUGACAUCUUAAUAUGAAAAUGACAAAAUAAAAUGCUGUGUUCCUGCUUGUCUACC